CUUGUACUCCCUUUGUCCGAAAAUACUUGUCAUUGAAAUGGAUGUAUCUAGAUGUAUUUUAGUUCUAGACACAUCCAUUUUGAUGACAAGUAAUUCCGGACGGAGGGAGUACUUG
Non-coding RNA from Triticum aestivum (bread wheat), 115 nucleotides. Lineage: Eukaryota; Viridiplantae; Streptophyta; Magnoliopsida; Poales; Poaceae. The record is from Rfam.